GAAAUGCGAUAAGUAAUGUGAAUUGCAGAAUUCAGUGAAUCAUCGAAUCUUUGAACGCACCUUGCACUCCUUGGUAUUCCGAGGAGUAUGCCUGUUUGAGUGUCAUGGUAUUCUCAUUUCUAGCAACUUUGUUUUGUUGUCAGAAAUUGGACUUGGAGGUUUUUUUUGCCGGUGCUUCGGCGGCUGGCUCCUCUCAAAUGCAUYAGUGUGAAUCAAGUUACACAUUACUCAGUGUGAUAAUUAUCUGCGCUGUGUUCAAUGUUGACUUUAUAAGUGUUCAUGCUUAUAACCCCGUCUGUUGACUCGGACAUUUUUUUCUUUACUAUGAAAUCUGACCUCAAAUCAGGUAGGACUACCCGCUGAACUUAA
Molecule: ribosomal RNA, 369 nt
Filed under: Podoscypha sp. 272-606
Lineage: Eukaryota; Fungi; Basidiomycota; Agaricomycetes; Polyporales; Podoscyphaceae
Description: eukaryotic LSU rRNA
Rfam family: 5.8S ribosomal RNA (bases 1-105)
Source: RNAcentral